UGGGGAAUUUUGCACAAUGGAGGAAACUCUGAUGCAGCGACGCCGCGUGAGUGAUGAAGAUCUUCGGAUUGUAAAACUCUGUCCUUAGUGAAGAUAAUGACAGUAACUAAGAAGCAAGCCCUGGCUAAAUACGUGCCAGCAGCCGCGGUAAUACGUAUGGGGCAAGCGUUGUCCGGAAUUAUUGGGCGUAAAGGGUACGUAGGCGGUUUAAUAAGUCCUAAUUAAAAGGCUAUGGCUCAACCAUAGUAUGGUUAGGAAACUGUUGAACUUGAGUAGAUGAGGGGAAAGUGGAAUUCCAUGUGUAGCGGUGAAAUGCGUAGAUAUAUGGAGGAACACCAAUUGCGAAGGCAACUUUCUGGAAUCCAACUGACGCUGAGGUACGAAGGCGUGGGGAGCAAACACG
Molecule: ribosomal RNA, 403 nt
Filed under: Fusobacteriota bacterium
Lineage: Bacteria; Fusobacteriati; Fusobacteriota
Description: Fusobacteria bacterium partial 16S ribosomal RNA
Rfam family: Bacterial small subunit ribosomal RNA
Source: RNAcentral